AUGCAACCAGCUGCGGCGCCGGCAAUGCCGUCCAUCCUGCUGCUCGCCCUGCUCGCGGCCACGGCCCUGGGCGCCGGAGCUGUGAGGACGCCGACGCUGGUGUUCAUCCUGGCGGGCCAGUCCAACAUGGGCGGCCGGGGCGGGGCGACGCUCAACAACCGCUGGGACGGCGUGGUGCCGCGGGAGUGCGCCCCCUCGCCGCGCACGCUCCGCCUCUCGCCGGCCCUGCGCUGGGAGGAGGCCCGGGAGCCGCUGCACUCCGGCAUCGACGUGGGCAACGUGCUGGGGGUCGGCCCGGGCAUUCCGUUCGCGCACGCGCUGCUGCGCGCCCCGGCCUGCCCCAAGGGCGCCGUCGUCGGCCUCGUCCCCAGCGCGCAGGGCGGCACCCCCAUCGCCAACUGGUCCCGCGGCUCCCACCUCUACGACCGGAUGCUCACCCGCGCCCGCGCCGCCGUCGCCGGGACCAAUGGCAAGGGGAGGGUCGCGGCCAUGCUCUGGUUCCAGGGCGAGACCGACACCAUCCGGCGCGAGGACGCGCUGGCCUACACGGGCAGGAUGGAGGCGCUUAUCCGUGAUGUCCGGCGAGACCUCGGCAUCCCAAACCUCCUCGUCAUCCAGGUCGGGAUCGCGACGGGGCAGGGCAAGUUCGUGGAUCUGGUGCGGAAGGCGCAGCGGGCGGUGCGGGCGCCCAACCUGAGGUACGUGGACGCCAUGGGCCUCCCCGUCGCCAACGACUUCACGCACCUCACCACGCCGGCGCAGGUCCGGCUGGGGAAGAUGCUCGCCGACGCCUACGUCGCCACGCUCCACUGA
This 813-nucleotide ribosomal RNA is filed under the name Triticum aestivum (bread wheat). Its description in RNAcentral is "partial small subunit ribosomal RNA". The record is from RNAcentral. Lineage: Eukaryota; Viridiplantae; Streptophyta; Magnoliopsida; Poales; Poaceae.